Molecule: ribosomal RNA, 639 nt
Filed under: uncultured bacterium
Lineage: Bacteria
Description: bacterial SSU rRNA
Rfam family: Bacterial small subunit ribosomal RNA (bases 1-547)
Source: RNAcentral
CCUACGGGAGGCAGCAGUGGGGAAUAUUGGACAAUGGGGGCAACCCUGAUCCAGCCAUGCCGCGUGUGUGAAGAAGGCCUUCGGGUUGUAAAGCACUUUAAGCGGGGAGGAAGGGCUUUGGGUUAAUAACCUGGAGCAUUGACGUUACCCGCAGAAUAAGCACCGGCUAACUCUGUGCCAGCAGCCGCGGUAAUACAGAGGGUGCAAGCGUUAAUCGGAAUUACUGGGCGUAAAGCGCGCGUAGGCGGUUGUGCAAGUUGGAGGUGAAAUCCCCGGGCUUAACCUGGGCACUGCCUUCAAAACUGCACGGCUAGAGUAUGGGAGAGGAAGGUAGAAUUCCAGGUGUAGCGGUGAAAUGCGUAGAGAUCUGGAGGAAUACCGAUGGCGAAGGCAGCCUUCUGGCCUAAUACUGACGCUGAGGUGCGAAAGCACGGGGAGCAAACAGGAUUAGAUACCCUGGUAGUCCAUGCCGUAAACGAUGUCAACUAGUUGUUGGANACUUGNUCUCUUAGUGACGCAGCGUACGACGAGUUAAGUUAGUACCGCCGUCGGGAGGUAACGGUCGUCGAGAACGUAAACGUUAACGAAAGAAGUUAACGGUUACGUUGAGAGNGCGACGGACGACGACGAGGGAGGAGG